CCUACGGGAGGCAGCAGUGAGGAAUAUUGGUCAAUGGGCGGGAGCCUGAACCAGCCAAGUCGCGUGAGGGAAGACGGUCCUAUGGAUUGUAAACCUCUUUAGGCGGGGAGCAAUGCCGGGCACGUGUGCCCGGAGGGAGGGUACCCGCAGAAUAAGCAUCGGCUAACUCCGUGCCAGCAGCCGGGGUAAUACGGAGGAUGCGAGCGUUAUCCGGAUUUAUUGGGUUUAAAGGGUGCGUAGGCGGAUUUUUAAGUCAGCGGUAAAAUGUCCGGGCUCAACCCGGGCCGGCCGUUGAAACUGGGGAGCUUGAGUGGGCGAGAAGUAUGCGGAAUGCGUGGUGUAGCGGUGAAAUGCAUAGAUAUCACGCAGAACUCCGAUUGCGAAGGCAGCAUACCGGCGCCCGACUGACGCUGAGGCACGAAAGCGUGGGGAUCGAACAGGAUUAGAUACCCGAGUAGUC
RNAcentral lists this ribosomal RNA (460 nucleotides) under uncultured bacterium. Its description in RNAcentral is "partial 16S ribosomal RNA". It matches the Rfam family "Bacterial small subunit ribosomal RNA", at positions 338 to 795 of the family's 1533-position model. The record is from RNAcentral.